Molecule: ribosomal RNA, 224 nt
Filed under: uncultured bacterium
Lineage: Bacteria
Description: partial 16S ribosomal RNA
Rfam family: Bacterial small subunit ribosomal RNA
Source: RNAcentral
GACAGAGGGUGCAAACGUUGCUCGGAAUCACUGGGCGUAAAGGGCGUGUAGGCGGGAAGGAAAGUCGGGCGUGAAAUCCCUGGGCUCAACCCAGGAACUGCACUCGAAACUUCUUUUCUUGAGUGCCGGAGAGGAAAGCGGAAUUCCUGGUGUAGAAGUGAAAUUCGUAGAUAUCAGGAGGAACACCAGUGGCGAAGGCGGCUUUCUGGACGGUAACUGGACGC